This 446-nucleotide ribosomal RNA is filed under the name Eucypris virens. Its description in RNAcentral is "partial 16S ribosomal RNA". The record is from RNAcentral. Lineage: Eukaryota; Metazoa; Arthropoda; Ostracoda; Podocopida; Cyprididae.
UUUCUUUAGAUAUAUUUUAAAGGUAAUACCUGCUCAAUGAAUAUUAAAUUGCCGCAGUAUUAUGACUGUGCUAAGGUAGCAUAAUAAUUUGUCUUUUAAAUGGGGACUGGAAUGAAAGGUUUUAUGGGGGUGUGUUAAUGAUUUAAUAAAUCUUUGAAGUUAAGGUUUGAGUUAAAAUUCUUAAAUUUAUUUGAGGGACGAGAAGACCCUGUGGAUCUUUAUUUUGUUUAUAAUAAAUUAUUAUAAAUGUUUUAUUAUCUUAAAAAUUUGAUUGGGACGAUUAUUAUUUUAACAUAAUUUUAAGAAUUUAUUUUGAUCCUUGUGAAGGAAUUAAGAUUAAGUUACCCCAGGGAUAACAGCGUUAUAUUAUUGGAUAGUUCAUAUUGAUAAUAAUGUUUGCGACCUCGAUGUUGAAUUAAAAUUUCUUUUUAAAGCAGAAGUUAAAU